RNAcentral lists this ribosomal RNA (432 nucleotides) under uncultured archaeon. Its description in RNAcentral is "bacterial SSU rRNA". It matches the Rfam family "Archaeal small subunit ribosomal RNA", at positions 19 to 458 of the family's 1478-position model. The record is from RNAcentral.
GGACCCGACUGCUAUCAGAGUGGGAAUAAGCCAUGCGAGUCAACAUAGCAAUAUGUGGCAUACGGCUCAGUAACACGUAGUCAACAUGCCCAGGGGACGUGGAUAACCUCGGGAAACUGAGGAUAAACCGCGAUAGGUCAUCACUUUUGGAAUGGGUAAUGACUUAAAUUUAUAUGGCCCCUGGAUUGGACUGCGGCCGAUCAGGCUGUUGGUGAGGUAAUGGCCCCCCAAACCUGUAACCGGUACGGGCUUUGAGAGGAGGAGCCCGGAGAUGGGCACUGAGACAAGGGCCCAGGCCCUAUGGGGCGCAGCAGGCGCGAAACCUUUGCAAUAGGCGAAAGCUUGACAGGGUUACUUUGAGUGAUUUCCGUUAAGGAGAUCUUUUGGCACCUCUAAAAAUGGUGCAGAAUAAGGGGUGGGCAAGUUUGGUGU